Molecule: ribosomal RNA, 182 nt
Filed under: uncultured Thermus sp.
Lineage: Bacteria; Thermotogati; Deinococcota; Deinococci; Thermales; Thermaceae
Description: partial 16S ribosomal RNA
Rfam family: Bacterial small subunit ribosomal RNA
Source: RNAcentral
CCUACGGGAGGCAGCAGUUAGGAAUCUUCCGCAAUGGGCGCAAGCCUGACGGAGCGACGCCGCUUGGAGGAAGAAGCCCUUCGGGGUGUAAACUCCUGAACCCGGGACGAAACCCCCGACGAGGGGACUGACGGUACCGGGGCAAUAGCGCCGGCCAACUCCGUGCCAGCAGCCGCGGUAAU